RNAcentral lists this transfer RNA (64 nucleotides) under Eucinetus haemorrhoidalis. RNAcentral's name for it is "tRNA-Leu". Lineage: Eukaryota; Metazoa; Arthropoda; Insecta; Coleoptera; Eucinetidae. The record is from RNAcentral.
AUUGUUUUGGCAGAAUAGUGCAAUAAAUUUAGAAUUUAUAUAUAUAAUUAAUUUAUAAACAAUA